GAACACACGCAGCGCAGCGCAUGAGUAUUUGUCAUACCACUGAUGCUCGGUGUUCUAGGGUUUCUUCCUUCCAAAGAAAUGCCUUCAACAUAUUGAUGCUCGCUCGGUUACAAUUCCAACCAUUUUGAUUUAUAUCAUUUUUGCGUGCAGUGAUUCUGUCCCUUCUUCUUUGAUUUCAGGUAUGAUUUGUGGUCCAAUUGGUUUUCAGAUGUGUAUUGGUUUUCAAAUUUAGUUUAUGUACUAAAUUUUUAAUGGAUAAAUGACUAAUUUUUGUUGUUCUUAUCAAUUAAUUAAUACUCCUACUUUGAGUUCAUGUAUUUUUUAUUUGAUUGGAUUUUGAAAAGAAGUAAAAAAAGUUUUGUUUUUUUUUUUAAUUUUAAAAUAAGUAUAACCUUUUGUGAACCUUUGAUUCAUAACUAUGGAUACAAAUGUUUGUCUACGUAUAUAUCAAUUUUGAAGAGGCCGGAAUGUUUGAUCACUCACGCAAAAAUGGUGUGAAUUACUGGUUGGUGUUGCUACCCACGAGCAUCAGCAGCAAUACUUCAAGAAGAAGGAAAAAGUUUGGUUCAGACAGAGCUAUCUUUUGAUUUCCAGAUUGUUUGAGCUUUUGAAGGUUAUUUAUAUUCUUGUCAUAUUUACGAGUAUAAUUGACUGUAAUGAGAUUUCAUUUUUUAUGAGUUGAUUAAUGUUUUCUAUUUUAUAUUCUCGUAAUGAUGUAUUUAAUCAGGAAUGUCCCAUUAUAAUAUUAGGUUCCCCCCUCUCUAUUGUGCUUGUAUGAAUGUAGUCCUUCUUUGAUAAAGGUGAUGGAUAUUUUUUUACUUUAAAUUUUUAUUGGCUGUACUUUGUCACUUCAUCAUUUUCUCUGAGAUCUAUGCAUUUACUUUAUCUUCAGUAAUUGAUAGAACACUUGGAAACUUGACCUUCUGAUCAAGAUCUGCAUUAUAUUACAGAACUUAUUUAAUCAGAGAUUCUUCUCUAUUGAGAAGUAAUAUGCAUUUCUCCUAAAAUCAUGCUAUAUAUGAGCUUUCUGUUUUGUAACACAAGGAUGGGCCUUCCAUUCAGUAACUGUAUGGCUGCUUAAUUACUAAAUGAUACAUUUGAAACCGAAAAGCUUAUAGUUUCCCGAGUAAUAAGGUCUUACAACACCCCGAUUAAAUUACCAAAUUACUCUCCAGUCUCCAGUUAGAAUUCUUGGUACUAAUUGGAGCUAUCGUGAAAAUAUGAAUUCUAGGUGCUCUCCACUAACUAAAAAUGUUAAGUAGCGAUAUAUGUAGAAAUACUCACUUUUUUCUGGAGGCAGCUUUAACUGUCAAUUUAAUUGCUGUCUACAUCUACCAUUAAAUUAAAUCCAAAAAUAGUAAUAGGAGUGCAUAGGCUGACGGUGAUGACACUAAGUGGUAGGUCAGAUGAGAUCAGAUUAUCAUAAAUGUGCACCAUCACUCAAAAUGAUAACUUCUCAUAAUCAAUAUUAAAUAACUUAGACUACGAAUGAUAUAUGCAUGUAAUGUAUGUUCCAUAUAAAAAGACAGUAGUAUCUGUUGCUGCACUAAUCCCACGUUGAAGGGGAGUAACACUUAAAAAAGCUGUACUACAUGUUGGGCCACCCCACCUAAUGACAUAAACCUUAUGAGUUGGAAACUUAACAUGAUUAGAGCCUAUACUGUGUUGGAAUCCCUCUUGGGGUCACACCCCAUCACCAAAUUCUCCACUUGACAGAGCUCGAUAAGAGGCCUGCUAGGCUGCUAGUAAGGGGGAGUAUUGGUGAACUAGUUUGUGCUUCAUAUCUCUCCUUCCUAGUGUGUGAUUGGGAAUUUACCAUGUGCACUAACAUGGAUUUGGUGUGAAUAUCUGUAACUAUAAUUAGAUGUCAUUAUUUGUCAUCACUAUUACUUCACUGGGUGCUUAGAGGACUACAGUCCAAUUCUGCGAGGUUGAUGGAUUUUCUUCCUUAAUUUCUAAUUUUGUAUUAUGUGUACUUGUCACUUGACUAGUUCAUUUUCUAAGAAGUAAAGGGUUUCUUUUUUUCUUCAGCAUGUUCUAUAAAGAGAUCUCUGAAACUUGACCUUUUGAUCAAAAAUCUGUGCAUUAUCUUUCAGAAUUUUUCUAAUCGGAGAUUCUUGUUUAUUGAGAAAUUAUCUAUGUUUUUGCAGCUCGUUAUGUUAUGUGAGACUUGGACUCCACGAUUCAUUGGAGACUUGUUUUUCCUUAAAUCUUGCAAUACAUGAGAUUUGCGCUUGGUAACAGUAGGAUAUAACAUACCUUCAGAAAAGUGAAGUUUUUUGUAUGAGUUGGGCAUUACAGGACGUCUGACAUUGGCCAAUGAGGAGAUUAGGCGGCAGUUGAAAGAGCUGCUCGAAAAGGGUCAUGGUUGGCCAAUUACAUCCUCUUGUGCCUCGCUCCUUAGAGGUCUUGGUGCUGAAGAAGGCUCGUGGCGCAAGUGCGUGGAUUAGGAUUAUCGCGCCAGAUCACAGUAAAGAAUCGCUAUCCUUUGCCAAGGAUAGAUGUCUGAUUUCCAUUUGACUAGUUGAGGGAGCCCGUUACUUGAUCACCAAGUGCAAGUGGUGGAAGGCUGCUACACUACCAAGGUCUAAGGGAUGUAUUUGGAAUAUAAAAGUUCCAAAAGGAAUCAGCACAAAAAGCCCCUUUAGCUAAAUUAGAUAUGAGACCAUUUUACCAUCCAAUUAGAUAUCUUAGUAAUUGGAGUUAUUAUGAAAGCAGGACUCUCCGUUGACCACAAGUAUUAAGUAGUCCAAUAUGAUAGAAUUACUUUGUAUUUUUCUUGAGGCAUGUUUAGCUUUUCAAUUUUUAAAUUAUGUUUUCGUGUAAAUUUGUUGGUUCUCGAGUGCAUUAUUUCCCAUCUUUAUUGGGUAAGAUCAGCUAUUAUGGCUUGCUUUGUCUUCUACACAACAAAGUAGUGCAUCUCUCUUUAUACUUGUCUGUAGUAUCUUUAGGGAAUUGAUAUUUCCACAAGGCUUCGCUCACAUGAAUGUGGGUCCCGUUUACUGAGAGGAGCUUUGUGGAAAUAUCAAUUCCCUAUUUUUAUGCUUCUGUGAUAUAUGACGUUGAACAACUACUUUGUGUGUAGAUGCUUUAGCAGGAAUAAAUCCACAUCUACUUUGUGUGUGGAUGCUUUAGCAGGAAUAAAUCUACAUCAAGUGAAAGAGGACGAUGAGCAAACUCCAAAUGUUGGUAAAAUGGAACCAUGGUUGGUGAUGGUUUGGGAGACUGCUUAUCUGUCAGAACUGAGCUCAGGCUUGUGGACAGAAAUGCAUCAACCUCCGAGCUGUAAUCCUACUGAAACUCCUCCAUCCCAGUUGCAAACUAAAAUAAACAAGAGAGUCCUCCACUUUUAUUUCCAAAUAUUUUUGUUAUAAUAGACUUUAGUCACUUUAGUUACUUUUUUUGCCUUGUGUUUAUUUUGAGUGCUGGAAGGAAAUUUUAACUUUAAAAAGUGUAUAGGCACACACAAAUAUGUCACCAACUCUAUGAAAACAAUUUUCUACAAUUCUAAUUAAUGUAAAAUUGUUGUUGCAUGUAAUGAUAGAAUGCAGAUUAAUACUCCAUUUGUUUCUAAAAGAUUGUCGUUUAAGGUUAAUGCACACAGAUUAAGGUAUUAAUUAC
Molecule: long non-coding RNA, 3621 nt
Filed under: Panax ginseng (ginseng)
Lineage: Eukaryota; Viridiplantae; Streptophyta; Magnoliopsida; Apiales; Araliaceae
Description: long non-coding RNA (PGIN_LNC007905)
Source: RNAcentral